UCCCUGGUGGCUCAGACGGUAAAGAAUUUGCCUGCAAUGCAGGAAACCCAGGUUUGAUUCCUGGGUAGGGAA
RNAcentral lists this transfer RNA (72 nucleotides) under Bos taurus (domestic cattle). It matches the Rfam family "tRNA". Rfam says of the family: Transfer RNA (tRNA) molecules are approximately 80 nucleotides in length. Their secondary structure includes four short double-helical elements and three loops (D, anti-codon, and T loops). The record is from Rfam by way of RNAcentral. Lineage: Eukaryota; Metazoa; Chordata; Mammalia; Artiodactyla; Bovidae. RNAcentral also lists the same sequence under 5 other names.